Molecule: transfer RNA, 73 nt
Organism: Camelus ferus (Wild Bactrian camel)
Lineage: Eukaryota; Metazoa; Chordata; Mammalia; Artiodactyla; Camelidae
Rfam family: tRNA
About the family: Transfer RNA (tRNA) molecules are approximately 80 nucleotides in length. Their secondary structure includes four short double-helical elements and three loops (D, anti-codon, and T loops). Further hydrogen bonds mediate the characteristic L-shaped molecular structure. tRNAs have two regions of fundamental functional importance: the anti-codon, which is responsible for specific mRNA codon recognition, and the 3' end, to which the tRNAs corresponding amino acid is attached (by aminoacyl-tRNA synthetases). tRNAs cope with the degeneracy of the genetic code in two manners: having more than one tRNA (with a specific anti-codon) for a particular amino acid; and 'wobble' base-pairing, i.e. permitting non-standard base-pairing at the 3rd anti-codon position.
Source: Rfam
GGAGGUAUAGUUCAAGUGAUAGAGUACAUGCUUAGCACACACAAGGUCCUGGGUUCAACCCCCAGUACCUCUA